RNAcentral lists this ribosomal RNA (249 nucleotides) under Paciocinebrina lurida. RNAcentral's name for it is "Ocinebrina lurida partial 12S ribosomal RNA". The record is from RNAcentral. Lineage: Eukaryota; Metazoa; Mollusca; Gastropoda; Neogastropoda; Muricidae.
CUUGGCGGUGUUUUAAACCCCUCAGGGGAACCUGUCUCAUAAUCAACAAUCCACGUUAUACCUAGCCCUAUUUUGCUUUUACAGUUUGUAUACCGUCGUCGUCAGGUAACUUUUAAAAACUUAAAAUUUAGCAAAAAAGCUAUAUAAGCUUAUACGUCAAAUCAAGGUGCAGCCUAUAUUAGGGUGAGGAUGGGUUACAAUUAUAAAAUCAUAAUUACGAAUUAAUUAUAAUAAUACAUAAUUAAUUAU